UACGAAGGGGGCUAGCGUUGCUCGGAAUUACUGGGCGUAAAGCGCACGUAGGCGGAUUGUUAAGUCGGGGGUGAAAUCCUGGAGCUCAACUCCAAAACUGCCUUCGAUACUGGAGAGCUCGAGUCCGGGAGAGGUGAGUGGAACUGCGAGUGUAGAGGUGAAAUUCGUAGAUAUUCGCAAGAACACCAGUGGCGAAGGCGGCUCACUGGCCCGGUACUGACGCUGAGGUGCGAAAGCGUGGGGAGCAAACAGG
RNAcentral lists this ribosomal RNA (253 nucleotides) under uncultured bacterium. Its description in RNAcentral is "partial 16S ribosomal RNA". It matches the Rfam family "Bacterial small subunit ribosomal RNA", at positions 524 to 776 of the family's 1533-position model. The record is from RNAcentral.